GCGAACGCUGGCGGCAGGCUUCACACAUGCAAGUCGAGCGGGCACUUUCGGGUGUCCGCGGCGGCCGGGUGAGUAACGCGUGGGAACGUGCCCUCUGGUUCGGAAUAACUCAGGGAAACUUGAGCUAAUACCGGAUACGCCCUUUUGGGGAAAGGCUUGCUGCCGGAGGAUCGGCCCGCGUCUGAUUAGCUAGUUGGUGAGGUAACGGCUCACCAAGGCGACGAUCAGUAGCUGGUCUGAGAGGAUGAUCAGCCACACUGGGACUGAGACACGGCCCAGACUCCUACGGGAGGCAGCAGUGGGGAAUAUUGGACAAUGGGCGCAAGCCUGAUCCAGCCAUGCCGCGUGAGUGAUCAAGGCCCUAGGGUUGUAAAGCUCUUUUAUCCGGGACGAUAAUGACGGUACCGGAGGAAUAAGCCCCGGCUAACUUCGUG
Molecule: ribosomal RNA, 434 nt
Filed under: uncultured bacterium
Lineage: Bacteria
Description: partial 16S ribosomal RNA
Rfam family: Bacterial small subunit ribosomal RNA
Source: RNAcentral